GAUCCUGGCUCAGGAUGAACGCUGGCGGCGUGCCUAACACAUGCAAGUCGAACGGUACUUUUCAUGAAGCCUAGCGAUUAGAAAAGUUAGUGGCGGACGGGUGAGUAACGCGUGGGUAACCUGCCUUGUACGUGGGGGACAACAGUUGGAAACGACUGCUAAUACCGCAUAAGCGCACAGCUUCGCAUGAAGCAGUGUGAAGAACUCCGGUGGUACAAGAUGGACCCGCGUCUGAUUAGCUUGGG
RNAcentral lists this ribosomal RNA (245 nucleotides) under uncultured bacterium. Its description in RNAcentral is "partial 16S ribosomal RNA". It matches the Rfam family "Bacterial small subunit ribosomal RNA", at positions 15 to 250 of the family's 1533-position model. The record is from RNAcentral.